CAUCUGUCUCGGUGUGAAGGUGGCAAGGACAACAUUUUAAUAACCAUAAACAGGAGACGUGGCCACUUGUUUGAAGGCGCUGCUGCCGCUUGUCAUACACAACGUGGAGCCCAGUCACAAAGCCCCAGGUGCCACCUGGGAAGGACCAGACUCUGCUUCUGUCAUAACAGGGCUGCUAAUGUCAUCUGGUUCCAACUGGGGAUCAACAUCCUGGUACUCCUCAUCUACUUCUUCAUCCAAGAAGGCCUCCUCCAGAGAUUUUCAGAGGCAACAUCUUGUGGGCACUGACUGGCCACUGUGUGAACAGGAUCCAGGCCUUGACACAGAAGACCAUGGGUGGAGAAAGCCUGUCCCCUGACUCCUACAUUUCUGGCCUCUGGAGGACUCCCCCAGAUUUUAAAAACAAGCUUGGAAGCACCUUGUGCCCAGAAUUCACACAGAGACCCGAAUCAGCUUGUUGUUGUUGCUAACUGCCUUCGAGUCAAUCCCAACUCAUGGUGGCCCUGUGGAUGAGACAUCUCCAAGACCCCUUGUCCUCCACUGCUCUGCUGAGGUCCUGUAAAUCCAUACCCAUGACCUCCCUAAUAAAGUCUAUCUGUUUAGGGAGAAGUCUUCUUCUCCUUCUUCUUCCCUCCACCUUUCCACCAGACUCAACACUCAAGUUAUAAUCCAGACUUUAAAGGAGGUGAUCAAGAUACCAAAUCUUAUCCUCCUCAUAAC
Long non-coding RNA from Sceloporus undulatus (fence lizard), 720 nucleotides. RefSeq lists it as uncharacterized. The transcript has 3 exons. Lineage: Eukaryota; Metazoa; Chordata; Lepidosauria; Squamata; Phrynosomatidae. The record is from RefSeq and is a predicted model, not a curated record.